GCGCCUGUAGCUCAACUGGAUAGAGCAACGGCCUUCUAAGCCGUAGGUUGCAGGUUCGAGCCCUGUCGGGUGCG
RNAcentral lists this transfer RNA (74 nucleotides) under Dichelobacter nodosus VCS1703A. It matches the Rfam family "tRNA". Rfam says of the family: Transfer RNA (tRNA) molecules are approximately 80 nucleotides in length. Lineage: Bacteria; Pseudomonadati; Pseudomonadota; Gammaproteobacteria; Cardiobacteriales; Cardiobacteriaceae. The record is from Rfam by way of RNAcentral.